Maniola jurtina (meadow brown) is the source of this 2149-nucleotide RNA transcript. It is a transcript of the gene named UDP-glucosyltransferase 2-like, with no coding region annotated. The record is from RefSeq and is a predicted model, not a curated record. The transcript has 6 exons. Lineage: Eukaryota; Metazoa; Arthropoda; Insecta; Lepidoptera; Nymphalidae.
CAGCGGCUGUGUGCAGCGGCCACCGGCUAUUUGAUAAGAGAACAUCAUUGUGAUAACAUUAUUUUAUAGUGUUAAAAGCUUAGUAGUAAAAUAUGUUUCACUGUGAGUGCAAUAAAUGAUGUAAAAUAUAAUAAUGGGUAGCAAAGAUUUGGUUCUUAUUCUAGUGCUGUAUCAUUUCAUUGCAACAUCUGAACCCGCGAGGAUAUUAGCAGCAUUACCGAUCCCCAUGCCAAGCCAUCAAAUGGUGUUCCGAGUAUUAAUGCAAGAACUUGUUAAACGUGGUCAUCAUGUCACGGUAAUAACUGCACUGCCAUCAUAUCCAGACGGCCAGGCACCUGUAAACUAUACAGAGAUUAAUGUACAGCAAGUUAUUGAAGUUCUGAGAACAAAUCUACUGACAGAACAAUUAAAGAUAUCGGAUGAUUUAGUGUCUCAGUUUGCAAGUACUUUUAGGACAUGUGUUGAUAUAAAUGAUAAAUUAUUCGGAAUGGAAAUUAUUCAAAAUUUUAUCCGAAAUACAGAGAGUACGUAUUUUGAUUUAAUUUUUGUAGAGGAUUCUUUAAAAUCAUCAUUAAUAUUUUCUCAUAUCUUCAAAGCACCAGUUAUACAUUUAAGUUCGUUUGGAGGUACCUUUGAAACAUUCGAGGCAGUAGGUGCUCCGACGCAUCCAUUCCUUUAUCCUCUCGCAAUUAGACAACGAUAUAGUGAUCUAUCUGUCUGGGAAAAACUUGUAGAAUUGUAUGUGGAAUAUCGUUUACAAAAGGUAUAUCAUGAACAUGAAAUGAUGGACAAUGAUAUAUUCAAAAAAUACUUUGGAAUAAAUGCCCCAACGAUAGAUAAUCUAAAGAAAAAUAUAGAUAUGAUUUUUUUAAAUAUUCAUCCUAUUUGGGACUCCAAUCGUCCUGUUCCUCCUAAUGUUAUUUACUUAGGAGGUCUCCAUCAAAAAGCUCAACAAGAAUUACCCAAGGAAUUAAAAUCAUCUCUUGAUUCUUCAACCAAUGGUGUAAUCUACGUGAGUUUUGGGACUAAUGUUAAUCCGUCGUUAUUGCCCCCCGAAAAACUACAAAUAUUUAUAAAUGCUUUUUCUGAAUUGCCUUACGACGUAUAUUGGAAAUGGAAUGAUGAAAACUUGCCAGGAUUGUCGGAAAAUAUUAAGAUCCUUAAUUGGUUUCCUCAGUCAGAUCUACUUCGACAUCCUAAAGUAAAACUUUUUAUAACACAAGGAGGAUUGCAUUCUACAGAUGAAGCAAUUGUAGGUGGAGUUCCUCUUAUUGGCAUACCGAUGAUGUGGGAUCAAUGGUAUAAUGUAAAUAAAUAUGUACAGUUAAAAAUUGGAUUACAAUUGGAUAUUAAUUUUAUUACCGAGAAUGAAUUAAGAGAGGCUAUACAAUCAGUGAUAAAAGAUAAAAGGUACAAAGAAAAUAUUAUCAAGUUAAACUCCGUGAUGCGCGAUCAACUGCAGUCACCUCUAGAACGUGCUGUUUGGUGGACAGAACAUGUUAUACAUAAUCGCGGCGCAAACCAUUUGCGUGCUCCAUCAGCGGACUUGACUUGGGCAGAAUACUACGAACUCUAUUGCCUUAGGGACUCGGGGAGUCCUGCAGUGAACAGCAAAUAGGAAUGGAAACUGUCUUAGUGAAUGAUAAAACAGUCAAGACAAAAAGAACAGGAUUCAAUAAUAUCGAACAGUAUUUUAUUUGCAAACCGUGUGGCUUCACGUAGCGUUUGCAAUUAAAGAAUUAUUUGCCACAAAGCUAUCAUCAUCACAACCCAUGGUUCGCGUUGGCCCAUUACUAAGUAGGGGUUUCCACUCAGAAUGAGAAACAUUAAGACCAUAAUAUUCAUUACGCUAGCCAGUGCGGAUUGGCAGAGUUCAGACACAUUUGAGAACACUAUGAGGAACUCUCAGGCAUGCUGGUUUCCUCACAAUGUUUUCAGUACCCAUUAAAGAAAGCGAUAUUUAGUUGCUUAAAAUGCACACAACUCCGAAAAGUUAGAGAUGUGUGUCUGGCAUUAAACCUCAUAGCAUGCUAAUGUUUGUUUUCCCGGGAUAAAAGUAACCUGUGCCCCUCUCCAGGUCCUUAACUAUACCCGUGCAAAAAAUUAUGUCAAUCGGCAGCUGUGUUGCGAAGUGAUUGAAGGUCAAAAA